This 253-nucleotide ribosomal RNA is filed under the name uncultured bacterium. RNAcentral's name for it is "partial 16S ribosomal RNA". It matches the Rfam family "Bacterial small subunit ribosomal RNA", at positions 524 to 776 of the family's 1533-position model. The record is from RNAcentral.
UACGUAGGGCGCAAGCGUUGUCCGGAAUUAUUGGGCGUAAAGAGCUCGUAGGCGGCUUGUCACGUCGGGUGUGAAAGCCCGGGGCUUAACCCCGGGUCUGCAUUCGAUACGGGCAGGCUAGAGUGUGGUAGGGGAGAUCGGAAUUCCUGGUGUAGCGGUGAAAUGCGCAGAUAUCAGGAGGAACACCGGUGGCGAAGGCGGAUCUCUGGGCCAUUACUGACGCUGAUGCACGAAAGCUAGGGGAGCAAACGGG